Molecule: ribosomal RNA, 274 nt
Filed under: uncultured bacterium
Lineage: Bacteria
Description: partial 16S ribosomal RNA
Rfam family: Bacterial small subunit ribosomal RNA
Source: RNAcentral
AUACAGAGGGCUCGAGCGUUGAUCGGAAUCAUUGGGCUUAAAGGGUACGUAGGCGGGCUUGAAAGUAUCUUGUGAAAUCCCACGGCUCAACCGUGGAACUGCGAGGUAAACUUCAAGUCUUGAGAUCGGUAGAGGUUGUCGGAACAAUAGGUGGAGCGGUGAAAUGCGUACAUAUCUAUUGGAACGCCAAAGGAGAAGUCAGACAACUGGGCCGAAUCUGACGCUGAGGUACGAAAGCGUGGGUAGCGAACGGGAUUAGAAACCCUAGUAGUCC